GGUGCGAGCGUUAAUCGGAAUAACUGGGCGUAAAGGGCACGCAGGCGGUUGUUUAAGUGAGGUGUGAAAGCCCCGGGCUUAACCUGGGAAUUGCAUUUCAGACUGAACAACUAGAGUACUUUAGGGAGGGGUAGAAUUCCACGUGUAGCGGUGAAAUGCGUAGAGAUGUGGAGGAAUACCGAAGGCGAAGGCAGCCCCUUGGAAAUGUACUGACGCUCAUGUGCGAAAGCGUGGGGAGCAAACAGGAUUAGAUACCCUGGUAGUCCACG
This 269-nucleotide ribosomal RNA is filed under the name Mannheimia haemolytica. Its description in RNAcentral is "partial 16S ribosomal RNA". It matches the Rfam family "Bacterial small subunit ribosomal RNA", at positions 531 to 799 of the family's 1533-position model. Lineage: Bacteria; Pseudomonadati; Pseudomonadota; Gammaproteobacteria; Pasteurellales; Pasteurellaceae. The record is from RNAcentral.